RNAcentral lists this ribosomal RNA (175 nucleotides) under uncultured bacterium. RNAcentral describes it as "partial 16S ribosomal RNA". It matches the Rfam family "Bacterial small subunit ribosomal RNA", at positions 349 to 518 of the family's 1533-position model. The record is from RNAcentral.
CAGCAGUGGGGGAAUUUUCCGCAAUGGGCGCAAGCCUGAUCGCAGCUGACCGCGUGAGUGAAGAAGGCCUUUGGGUUGUAAAGCACUUUCCGCGGGGAGGAAAGGGAUGAAAGUUAAUUACGUUUUCUUAGCGUGUACCUGAUGAAGAAGCACCAGCAAACUGUUAACUACUCAG